UAGGGAAUCUUCGGCAAUGGACGAAAGUCUGACCGAGCAACGCCGCGUGAGUGAAGAAGGUUUUCGGAUCGUAAAACUCUGUUGUUAGAGAAGAACUAGGACGUUAGUAACUGAACGUCCCCUGACGGUAUCUAACCAGAAAGCCACGGCUAACUACGUGCCAGCAGCCGCGGUAAUACGUAGGUGGCAAGCGUUGUCCGGAUUUAUUGGGCGUAAAGCGAGCGCAGGCGGUUUCUUAAGUCUGAUGUGAAAGCCCCCGGCUCAACCGGGGAAGGUCAUUGGAAACUGGGAGACUUGAGUGCAGAAGAGGAGAGUGGAAUUCCAUGUGUAGCGGUGAAAUGCGUAGAUAUAUGGAGGAACACCAGUGGCGAAGGCGGCUCUCUGGUCUGUAACUGACGCUGAGGCUCGAAAGCGUGGGGAGCAAACAGG
Molecule: ribosomal RNA, 429 nt
Filed under: Gemmatimonadota bacterium
Lineage: Bacteria; Pseudomonadati; Gemmatimonadota
Description: Gemmatimonadetes bacterium partial 16S ribosomal RNA
Rfam family: Bacterial small subunit ribosomal RNA
Source: RNAcentral